AAGAUCAAGAUCAUCGCCACCAUCAACAUUAUCAGCCAAGACCAUGCUGUAUGAAGUUUCACCAAUAUCUACAACAUCAGCACAUGAUGUUGGUCCGUCUAUGAGAUACAAAUAACCAUCAAAUGACAUUGUGACAAUUGUAAGCCCUUUUUUCUUCUCCCCACGUUUGCUCAAGUCGACGAGAAGUGCUCGAUUCAUCACCCUACCAUGAGUCCUAUAAGGAUAUGGACGUACAAAUGAGCCGUCCUUGCCAUUCAGAACAUAUAUAUUCCCAGAAAGUGUUGGGACAACGACAUCCGUAUGGCCAUCUCCAUCCACAUCGCCAAUGACCGGUCCCUGAGGAACAAGGCUCUUGAGAUGCGUUUCCCAAAUUUCUGUACCUUGUGCAGUCCAAGCAGCAACAUUUCCAUGUGAAUCUGUUGUAACUAGUUCAAUCUUUCCAUCAUCAUUGAUAUCAGCUGCAACUACUGCUCCUUGGAUUUCAGCCAUUUCAAGAGGAAACUUUUCCCUGACUUUGCCGUUGUGAUCCAACACAUAAAACAAGCCAUAGGAGGUCCCAACUAGAAUGUCCAUGUUUCCAUCACCAUCCAAAUCAACUACCGUAGGAGAAGAGUAUAUAUAGGCACGGAAUGUCCCGUCGUCAGUACUUAAGUCCAACUGUGCAGACCAUUUGACUUGCUUGGUAUCUAGAUUGAAAACAACAAUACCACCAGCAACAUAUUUUCCUAUUUCAAUGUCUCCAAGUUCCUUUAUAUGCUCCUGAUUGUUGUAGUACUCAUGGUCAAAG
This 787-nucleotide unclassified non-coding RNA is filed under the name Hevea brasiliensis (rubber tree). The record is from RNAcentral. Lineage: Eukaryota; Viridiplantae; Streptophyta; Magnoliopsida; Malpighiales; Euphorbiaceae.